UGCCAUUUUUUUCAGUCACUGU
RNAcentral lists this microRNA (22 nucleotides) under Melibe leonina. RNAcentral's name for it is "mle-miR-1985-5p". Lineage: Eukaryota; Metazoa; Mollusca; Gastropoda; Nudibranchia; Dendronotidae. The record is from miRBase by way of RNAcentral.